CUUUGGGCAGCCUAUAGCCUGAAAGGCCAAAAAGGGAAGAAAAGGUUUGAAGACCUGCUUUUAUAUGAAGUCAUAAAGGAUGCAUGUUGCAGAAUACAUCCGGCAGUGGCCCAGCAGGUCUUUGAACACUUUGUUGCAGAGACUUUAAAGUAUGCACCCCACAGGGGAAUUCAGGUGGUUAGUGCACUUCCGCAAUCUGAGGACAGACAUUGAAGUGGUGAAGCUGU
Long non-coding RNA from Monopterus albus (swamp eel), 227 nucleotides. RefSeq lists it as uncharacterized. NCBI's taxonomy places the organism in Eukaryota, Metazoa, Chordata, Actinopteri, Synbranchiformes, Synbranchidae. The record is from RefSeq and is a predicted model, not a curated record. The transcript is spliced from 3 exons.